This 490-nucleotide ribosomal RNA is filed under the name uncultured bacterium. Its description in RNAcentral is "partial 16S ribosomal RNA". It matches the Rfam family "Bacterial small subunit ribosomal RNA", at positions 30 to 507 of the family's 1533-position model. The record is from RNAcentral.
AUUGAACGCUGGCGGCAGGCUUAACACAUGCAAGUCGAACGGUAACAUAGAGAAGCUUGCUUCUUUGAUGACGAGUGGCGGACGGGUGAGUAAUGCUUGGGAAUCUGGCUUAUGGAGGGGGAUAACUACGGGAAACUGUAGCUAAUACCGCGUAAUAUCGAAAGAUUAAAGUGUGGGACCUUCGGGCCACAUGCCAUAGGAUGAGCCCAAGUGGGAUUAGGUAGUUGGUGAGGUAAAGGCUCACCAAGCCGACGAUCUCUAGCUGGUCUGAGAGGAUGACCAGCCACACUGGGGCUGAGACACGGCCCAGACUCCUACGGGAGGCAGCAGUGGGGAAUAUUGCGCAAUGGGGGCAACCCUGACGCAGCCAUGCCGCGUGAAUGAAGAAGGCCUUCGGGUUGUAAAGUUCUUUCGGUAGCGAGGAAGGUGGUUAGUUUAAUAGGCUAGCCAAUUGACGUUAACUACAGAAGAAGCACCGGCUAACUCCGUG